Molecule: non-coding RNA, 123 nt
Organism: Hordeum vulgare subsp. vulgare (domesticated barley)
Lineage: Eukaryota; Viridiplantae; Streptophyta; Magnoliopsida; Poales; Poaceae
Source: Rfam
UAAAUACUCCCUUCGUCCGGAAUUAUUUAUCUCAUAAAUGAAUAAAAAGAUGUAUCUAGAACUAAAAUACAUACAGAUACAUCCAUUCUUAUGUCAAGUAUUUCCGGACGAAGGGAGUAUUUA